UGAUGAGUGAUUUGCUCGGCGCCAUGAACAAUAAGGGAACAUUUUUAACCCAUUCAAUCAAAGCCCUGUGAAGGGAGGUGAAAGCCCGUUGUGUUCCUCAGCAUCUUGGCAUUACGGAAGAAUGUCUUAAUUAGUUCUUAGGCCUUAACUUCACAACUGGUCACAUGCCAGCUGUCAGUGAAGAUCUGGACCUGGAUGGAUGAGGAAACCACUGCAAUAUGCCAUCGAGUUCAGGAGGGAUGUGGCUGUAAAGCUUAAUCCCUGUUCUGAAGUGCAGUUGGGCACUGAUGCAGCUGUGCUCUGCAAAGUGCCCUGAUAGGAUCAGAGUCCUUGGACCAGGCUGACCUGUCUGAACCUCUCUCCUUUUUUAGCCAUAAUGUGUGUGCUCACUGCUUCAGGUUUUGCACAGCAUGGCUUCUUAGAGAGCACUCUUCUUCCCCCUUUAGCUGUCCUUAUAUAUAGUUCUAAUAAAGAUAGUGCAACUAGAGGAGAAAUGCAGUGCAGAAUGGAAAAUGAAUUCACGUUAGUCAUACACCUCACUGGAUAAUUAAUGGCAUAUCUUGCUGCCUGCAUGCAAGGCUUCAAAACUGAUUAGCUGGCAGCUUUCACUGCUGUCCCACUGUAUAAGAAAGUAUGGCUAUAAAAGAGAAUUCAGCUUCACAGAGUCAUAUACGCUUAAAUUUCAUUGAUAGUAACAACGUGAACAAGAAUAUGUGAGGAAAAAAAGCAUAAGAAAACAAUUCUUCAAACCUAAAAAUAAAAAAAAGGACACAGAACAGCCACCUACCAACCAGUGUAAGAAAUCGAGGUUGCAAGAGAAAACACUUCAAUCCCGCAAGAAGCAAUUAGAAGAUCUUGUGGAAAUAGUGCAUCAAGAAGAUGAGUCUCCAGAGGAACAAACUGCUUUUUCCUUAUACGUUUUUUUUUUAUUAUUAUUGUUCACAUGGAACUCAUCUGACUGUAUAUUCUCUCCACAGCAUUUGAAUGUUGCUUUCCCCUUUCUGGAUGAUUAUCUGUCCUCUGCUGUAAGGAGGUACCAAUAAGCAAAAGCUUUCAAGGCUGCUGAAAGGGAUGAAGUACUUUUUUAUAUCUCUGUGUAGAACACAACGCUUGGAGGGGGGAAAUAGCAAAAUAUUGUUUGUCUCCAGCAUGCUUUGGAGAAGUGCCUGGUUUAUUUACUCACGUCCCACCUGAAACAACCCGCAGAUUCAUUUAAAUAAAUAAGCUUGCACCGCACAGUAGGUUUUUAUGUGUGUGGAGCAGGGUAGAGAGGGUAAUGGAAAUUCUCCCUUGUGCAGGGCGGAUUAGUUGAUGCUUAGGCAAUUUUUACCCACCCCCCACCUGGUUUUCCUGCUUUCCCUGUGAAGUUGGUUUGAGCUGAAAGAGUCUGGGUCUCUCCUAAUCCAGGGCACUUAGUCCUUGGUUUUAGGCACUUUAUAAUCUUCUAGACCACACGUGGUUUAAAAUGUGUCAUUGUAAUUCUCUAGUCACAGUCACCUGGAAGCUGAAAAGACCUUCAUAUCCUUGAAUUUGAUACCAGCUUAGAAAUUGCUGCUCUUUCUCAGAGGUAACUGAAGGCACGUUACAAUCUGGUUUAAUAGGUUAUAUGAUCAAUCAACGCAAAGGCACACACCUGUCCUAUUAAUACUGUGAUAUGAUUAUUGAGCUAUGACUAGCUUAUACACAAAUAUUCUGCACUUAUAGGUUCGUGAAAGCUGAGGAAAAUCUUAAUUAGCUUUGAUGCUCCUGGAUUGCUGAGUAAAGGAUAGUUUUACCAAGGCCUGAUUGAACUGAUUGUUGUGACCCCAUGCUCUGCACUGUGUUUCCACAACAGAAUUGAUCUUUUUUCCAGAUGAAGACAUAUACCAUUCUGAACCACAUUUGAGGGUGUUUCCAACUAAGCUUGGUGAGGGAUGAAGCUAUAAGGACUCAUUGCCAAGAAAUGCUAGUGGAUACACACCUUCACCCCUCUUGCAGAGAACUAUUGAUGGGCUCACGUGGCUGAGAUAUUUAUGAAGAAACUUCUUGUACAAGGUGUUUAUACAGAAGAUGACCACUGAUAGCAUGAACAACUUUUACUGUUCCUUGAGCUUGGAGUUCAUAAUGCUGUUUGGACAUUAUAAGCCCUUAAGUACUGUAACAAAGUGAACGUUCAGCUCCAGGAAUUUCAAAUCCAGGCGAAGUGAACUUGCUGAUUAACUCUGUGAAUGAAUUUCGUGGUUUAGUAGAGGCUCUGAUGACAGCAAAUGAAAAUCUGUCUUAAACUGUAGUAAAACCUGCAGGAAAUACAAGGCACCUGCUGAGAAAUCAGCUUUCUCUUUAGCUAUUACGUUUAAUCUCUUUGACUCUUGUCUAGUUCUUCUAGGUUAGUGGGAACAUAGGUAUGGAUUUUACAGUGCUGUCAUCACCAGUGAAAUGCUCAUAUUAAUCUAGAUUUGUAUGCUAUAUGGCUGUUGGCAAUGAGGACAGUUAACAUUCCAGUAUCAAUUUCCCUUCAAGGAUACUGAAGAGCGUUGGAAACAUUAAGCUUUGAGGCUAGUAAUUUACUAAUGAGAACACUGAUUCAAAGAGAAAUUAGAACCUUAAUCUCUCACCCAGUGAAGCCAAUAGAAAUCAUUUUGUGAUUUCCUUGGGCAGACUCUGUGUAGUUUGUAAAAGGUCACAGAAGAAAUCACAGAAAAAUUAGACUGAGGUCCAAUAACUUUGUGCUUGCCCAGUAGGAGAGUAGCUGCCCCUUGUGCUACGCCUGUACCCUUUAGAUCCAAAUCCCUUUUCCUUAGUGCAGUUGAAAAAUAUUCCAAUAAACCUUGAUUUGCUGGGACCUCAUUCCCGCGUCACCACCAGCUGUGUGCUGUAGCAGAGGAGAUGUGGAACAAUAAUAUAACAGCUUUGGAGCUCUGUUAUUUUUCAUUCAGGCUGAACACCACAGGUGUCCUUCCUGGCACCCUGUGGUGGAGGCUGAUUCUCUAAGCAGAUUUUGGAAGCAAAGAUCUCUUGGACAAGUUUCCUACAGAAGCAUAAAGCCGCUCCCACCAAACUGAAGAACCAAAACCUUGCCACUGUGUUUACGUGCUCACAGUGACAUGAAGUCCUUUAGUACAACUCAAGGCCAUGCCCAACUUCAUAGAAAUGAAGUUUCCAAAUUCUUUGAAGCAGUUAAACUUUGACGAAAAGCUGUACUGCACUGCUGAGACCUUUCAUUGAACUAAAGCAUCCGGUUUUCAGAGUGACAGGGUGACAUUGAGGAAAUCACAAUUAAGUUCUUCAAACGUGUUAUUUUAUAGGUAGUAUCCUCCAAGGCCUGAUCCAAAGUGCUCUGUACUCAGUAGGAACCAUUCCACCUCAGGGCUCACUCAAUGUUUUCCAGCAUGCUCUGUCUCUGGUAAUAUUUCAAGCAGUUUAUUACAGAAUUGCAUAAUGCAAUAUGCAUUGCUCGUGUGGGUAGAAACCUUUAUAUCAACAGUCUAGAUAAAUGCCAGCACUGCUAUCAUAAUACACUUCAAUAGAGGUAAGAAAUAUAGUGAUGUGUUUACAAAUUUGAUCCAUUCAGAGCCCUGGGCUGUAGUAACUUAUAUAUAGGAGCAUUUAUGUAGAAAACCACUGGAGCAUAUGCAUGAUUAUUUAUCAAGAUGCUCUAUGUAUGGUGUUGGUAUUAUGCAUUAUGCUUGAUAUAACAGGAAUAAACACUUCAUGAAAGAACACAAAGGACACCAGAAAGGUAUAUCACAAACAUAUUUUUAUAAUGAACCCACAGAGUAUUUAUGCUGUAGAUUCCACAUAAAGUGUGUGUGAGCUAGCCAAGUACAGCCCUCCCAAAACCAGGUAAGCAGUACAGUUUUAUAAUGAUGAUAUAACUGAAAGAGCCUUCAUUGACUUUAAGUACAAACCUUAUGCUUUCUAAUGUUCCUUCAACUUCCUUGUCACGUAAAGGUCAGUCCACAGCACAGUAGAAGGAAUGGAUGUAUAUCUACGAUACGCACAGCAGAUUUAAGCAUUUGUACUCAUUUGGGUUUAGCCAACUAUGCUGUGCAGUGAGUGGCAAAUGUAUUAUUCUGUUGUGCCAUAUAAAGUAUUAUUCCAGGUGUUUGAAAUAAUGCAUACAGUUAAAGGUUAUGGCAGAAUAACAUUAAAGAAAUUCACUGUUUCUUGGCCUGAUGGUAGUAUGGAUGAUAAAAAGGAGAUGGUUAUUACAGCCUUGAAGCAUUACAGUUAUUUUGCUAUGAUAAUAGUCCUCAGAUUUUGUUAUAGCCCUAGUAUGUUACCUGAAAGUUAAAAUGCAAUUUACAGGUCUGUGAUCUCUUAUUGUCUAGAAUGUAAUUUCUAAAAGAAAAUGAGUGGUGAUCUUGAGGAUAAAUCCUGGUUUCUUUAAACUUGUUUUUUCUUUUCUUUUUUUUUUUUUGUAAGAGGAGGUUUAUUCCUCAGAGAAUGAAUCAAUCCAGGAUUGUCACUUCUAGAUUGAAAUACGCCAAGAUGAAUAUCUCUUCCACUUCAUACUGUUAUCACUCUUUGUUACCAACUUAUUAUGGACUACAGGUAGCAAGUGCUUCUGGACUUACAGCAAUACACCAAAGGUGUCAGAUGGCCAGGAGCUUCCAACCAGACCCUGCAUGAUUUGAGUGGCCCAAUGGAUUGUUUUGGUUCUACUUGUGAGCUAUUUUGAAAUAUUACAGUGUCCAUUACCGCAGUAUUAGCACUUCACUGUCCUUAAUGCUGUUUAAUCCAUCAGUUUUAGAGUCCCAAACCAAGGACUCCCUGCCAGCAGUCACCGCUACCGAUGCAGUGCACACUGUCAGAUUGCAACCUUGGCCAUAACAAGGUCAUGUAAUAAAGCACAUGACAGAGGAAAGACUGUAAUAAUAAUUAUUUCCAUUGUGUAUAAUAAAUAAUAUAAUAAAGCUUAGUUGUAAGCAUUAGAAGAGCCGUGAAAGUCAAGGCAGAUCUUUUGUGUUUGAUUCUCUCCUUCUGUGUACAGAAAUAAGAAAAAAAAAAAGGAAAAGAAUUGGUAGAAUGUUCCAGCUAAAGCAGAGCUGGUUCCAGAGAAGCUGAGAAAGAAAUGAGAUGGUGUCUCAACUAUGGCAAUGCAGAAUAGAAACUUAAUAUUUGUUCUGCAGUUUGUGUUCUGCGUUACUUUACUUUAAGGGACUGGGAAGUGUUUGAUUGAAAAAGGACUCCUUUCCCAGGGUGUAUCACUCAUCCAGAUUUCCCUUUGUAACUCGGGGUACUCAAAGUCAUUUCUUCCACCAAAAUCUGUCUGAUAUCUCUGUCUUUCUGGAGCUUCACACAUGACUGGAAAUCAAGCAUUCAAGGCAAAUACUACAGUUAAGUAUUAAACCUGACAGUUUUAUAUGUCUAGUACAAUAAUUGAUUCCAUGUUAUGCUAACCUACUCCACAGGUUAAAGCAGUGAGGGACAGCUCCAUCUCAUACAGGAGUCCCUGAAUUAUUAUUUUUAAGGUAUUUAAAAGCACCGAGGCAAUUCACAUUUCUAUUUUAUAAGCAUUUGUAUGGUUGAAGAAUAGAAUACAGGGAGCACUUGCA
This 5537-nucleotide long non-coding RNA is filed under the name Gallus gallus (chicken). The record is from RNAcentral. Lineage: Eukaryota; Metazoa; Chordata; Aves; Galliformes; Phasianidae.